RNAcentral lists this ribosomal RNA (435 nucleotides) under uncultured bacterium. Its description in RNAcentral is "bacterial SSU rRNA". It matches the Rfam family "Bacterial small subunit ribosomal RNA", at positions 368 to 793 of the family's 1533-position model. The record is from RNAcentral.
ACAAUGGGCGCAAGCCUGAUGCAGCCAUGCCGCGUGUAUGAAGAAGGCCUUCGGGUUGUAAAGUACUUUCAGCAGUGAGGAAGGUGGGUAUGGUUAAUAGCAUAUUCAUUUGACGUUUAGCUGCAGAAGAAGCACCGGCUAACUCCGUGCCCAGCAGCCGCGGUAAUACGGAGGGUGCGAGCGUUAAUCGGAAUUACUGGGCGUAAAGCGCAUGCAGGUGGUUUGUUAAGUCAGAUGUGAAAGCCCGGGGCUCAACCUCGGAAUUGCAUUUGAAACUGGCAAACUAGAGUACUGUAGAGGGGGUAGAAGUUUCAGGUGUAGCGGUGAAAUGCGUAGAGAUCUGAAGGAAUACCGGUGGCGAAGGCGGCCCCCUGGACAGAUACUGACACUCAGAUGCGAAAGCGUGGGGAGCAAACAGGAUUAGAUACCUGGUAG